AAAAAAAAAAAAAAAACAAUUAGAUGUCAAUAAUUAAUGUGUUAGAAAUUGUAUGUUAUCAGGAGUCGGUGUAUGAAUCUCACUUGGUUUAAAAUAAUCUUAUUCUUAUAUUUGGCUUAUGCCCGUUGAUAGAAAAAGUAGCCAUUCUCCCCAUUUUUCCAUAUUGUGGCAUAAAGGUUGAUGCUGGUCCUAUCAAUGGACAGUUAGCUUAUAAUGAAUUAAUGAUAAUAUCAUCAGCCAACAUAGUUGUGGGUGGAUCAUUUGCUAUCAGACUUGAAUUAUCAAAUAAACUGACCAACAACAAUACCGGAAAUAUAAAACCAUAGUUUAGAAUUAUUAUUAUAUAGGGGCCUUCCGUGCCAAGUAUCCAAACAGACCAUAGAACAUGAAAUUAUCAUAGAACAAGCCUCUUUACAAUGAUUCAGACAUUGAUAAAGAGAUAUAGCCUCAAUAAAUUUAUGCAAAGGGACUUGAUCUUGAGAGAGAUUGCACUGGGGACCUAGA
RNAcentral lists this unclassified non-coding RNA (504 nucleotides) under Hevea brasiliensis (rubber tree). Lineage: Eukaryota; Viridiplantae; Streptophyta; Magnoliopsida; Malpighiales; Euphorbiaceae. The record is from RNAcentral.